Molecule: unclassified non-coding RNA, 434 nt
Filed under: soil metagenome
Description: partial contains 5.8S ribosomal RNA, internal transcribed spacer 2, and large subunit ribosomal RNA
Rfam family: 5.8S ribosomal RNA (bases 1-120)
Source: RNAcentral
GAUGAAGAACGCAGCGAAAUGCGAUACGUAAUGUGAAUUGCAGAAUUCAGUGAAUCAUCGAAUCUUUGAACGCAUAUUGCGCUCUUUGGUAUUCCGAAGAGCAUGCUUGUUUGAGUAUCAGUAAACACCUCAAAGCUUUUGGAUUUUUUAAUCGAAAAGCUUUGGACUUGAGCAAUCCCAACACCAAUCUUUUUGAGAUCGGUGGCGGGUUGCUUGAAAUGCGGGUGCAGCUGGACAUUCUCCUGAGCUAAAAGCAUAUUCAUUUAGUCCCGUCAAACGGAUUAUUACUUUUGCUGCAGCUAACAUAAAGGGAGUUUGACCGUAUUGGCUGACUGAUGCAGGAUUUCACAAGGGUCGGCAACGAUUCUUGUUAAACUCGAUCUCAAAUCAAGUAAGACUACCCGCUGAACUUAAGCAUAUCAAUAAGCGGAGGA